Prionailurus viverrinus (fishing cat) is the source of this 1453-nucleotide long non-coding RNA. RefSeq lists it as uncharacterized. The transcript has 5 exons. Lineage: Eukaryota; Metazoa; Chordata; Mammalia; Carnivora; Felidae. The record is from RefSeq and is a predicted model, not a curated record.
UCUCAGCAACGGAACUUCAAGCAAAACCCGCUCUGGAAGAUAUACAUGAUAAAAGCACCCUGUCAACCACGGACACAUCCCACAGCCAUUUCCCCCUUGUGACAGCUCAUAAAAUGCUGCAUAAUGGUUCCUGUGUGAGUAUGAGAAAAUAUUGAAACAACGUCAAGAGAAUCAAGCAAAAGGCAACUGGUCCCCUGGAUCCGUCUUCAUUGGGUCCCACUGGACAACUUUUUGCCGGAUGAACUGUAGAGGCUGGUAAUACCACAGGAUAGCAAAAAUUUAAGAUGUUACCUGAAGGAAUUUCUGGAGCCCUACUCUAAACCCAAUCCUGAAGAUGUCACAGAAGGGAGAAAGAAAAUGGUGGAUCUAAGAAAAUAUUGGAAAAACUGAAAAGUCCCUGGGGAGACAGAAGUUGGCUCCGUUCUGAGUCCUAGCUGAAGCAACAACCAACUAGAAAAUGCAUUAGAAAUCCAGGAAUCAUCCAGAAGAGCAUUAAAAAACCUAAGGAAGACAUUGGAGAAUUCGUAUGCUAUUUUAGCUGGCUCUGUGAUUGCAAUCACACAAAUCACUCCAUUCCAGAGAGAUUUCAUGAACAGGAGGUUUUUCCAUUUCAGCCUUUCAAGGUAAAACAUUAUCUUUUCAUUUUCUAUAUACUCCAGGGAAUCAAGAAAUUAUGAAACGUAAGCCAUAAUUAUAAUAGCAUUUCUAAGUCUUCCUUGAUGGUCACAGUUAAGAAAAGGGAAGAGGAGAACUCUUUUGUUCCCAGUGACAUUAAAAUGCCCAGUCAGAUAAAAAUAAUAUUGAAUUGGCUUUCCUUUGUUCAACUGUUGUAACCUGCAAUCUCACUGCCUAUUUCACCCCAAAAUGAGUUAGUGUUGCAGAGCAAGAUAAUGACUCUCCCAUAAGCUUAUGAAUUGCUAUAGAACUGGAACUGUUCGGUGCAAAGAACUGAAAUGAAAUCAGAAGGUGAGUUGACUAUAGAUUUGUCAUACAUUUGCCAGCUGUUCAAUCUGGCCUUCUGUUCCUAUCUUUGGUACUUUUAUUUAUGCACAUGUAACACCAUGAGGAAGCAGAGAGUAUAAACAGCAACUAUCUCUUGGGUCAUUCAAUUUUGGCUUUAUAUUUUCUACUACGCUUAUGACUGCUGGUCACAUUUCUAUUCCAUUUGGGUGGUCUAAUUUAAAUGCGGAGUAUCAUAUGAGGGAUGGCAAGAACGCAGGCUUCCUGAGGACUGAUCUUUGCUAGAGCUAAGACCUAAUGUGCAUGGCUUCCAUUCACUGCUGAAGGAAGACAGUCCCUUAAGUGUAGAGCCAUGUUUAGUAGUUGAAAAUAGAAUUCUUUUUAGAAAUAAAGAUUGUAAGAUAUGAGCCAUUGGAUAUUAAAAAUAUCACUCAGGUUUGCCUGGGUGGCUCAGUCGGGUGAGUGUCUGACUCUUGAUUUUAGCUUAGGUCAU